RNAcentral lists this unclassified non-coding RNA (321 nucleotides) under Hevea brasiliensis (rubber tree). Lineage: Eukaryota; Viridiplantae; Streptophyta; Magnoliopsida; Malpighiales; Euphorbiaceae. The record is from RNAcentral.
ACGUUUUGGUCAGGACAAGCGUAGACUUCUAAUGUAUAUUCACAAUCUUGAUUGUUCUGAUGGACAAGGGCCCUCGGUGUAUUGCCUUCUGGACAUAAAUUGCUGUUUUGAUCGUUUUUCCUAGAGGCUAUGUAGUUGUUUCUGAGUAUGCUUUUGGGUAAUCUUUGGUUUGUUACCAGGAUUUUUUUAGUAAUAAAUAUUGCAUGACUUGACGAUAGGAUUAUGUUUGAAAUUUUAGUCACAGCACUGUCAGCUUGUAGUACCCUCCACCUUUGGAAACUCACAAUGCCCCAGCCCAUUGGAGUUUCGUAUUUGUCCACG